RNAcentral lists this ribosomal RNA (2874 nucleotides) under Triticum aestivum (bread wheat). RNAcentral describes it as "partial small subunit ribosomal RNA". The record is from RNAcentral. Lineage: Eukaryota; Viridiplantae; Streptophyta; Magnoliopsida; Poales; Poaceae.
AUGGAGAACAUGGGGUUACAACAUGUGCGGGUGUUUCCUCUCACGGUGUUAAGAGAUAUUACAAGUAAUUUUUCCGAGGAGCGUGUAAUUGGACAUGGUGCAUCUGGAGUAGUUUAUAAGGGAGUACUUGAUAAUGGGGAAGUGAUUGCUGUGAAGAAACUUAACAACCCAUAUCAUUCAUCCGGGGAGAAACUUGGUAAUGGAGAAGCCCAAUUUCAUAAUGAGCUUAUGAAUCUUAUUGGGGUCCAACAUCAAAAUAUUAUACGUGGAUACAUGCCACCAGAAUACCUCUUUAAGAAGCAAAUCUCACCGAAGUUUGACAUAUUCAGCUUGGGUGUUAUAAUGAUACACUUAAUAGCUGCGCAAGAGGGAAACCAGGAUUGUCCAUAUAUGCCUUCUGAGAAAUUCAUUGAGCGUGUACAUAGAAACUGGAAAAAACGGGUGCAGGCAACAGAAUCAUCACAUAUAUUAGAGCAAGUUAGGACAUGCACCGAAAUAGCGUUAAGGUGUGUGGAGUUCCAGCGAGAGAAAAGGCCUAAUAUAACUGAGAUUGUUGAUGAACUGAAUAAGAUUGAUGUUGACAAAUGUUCGGAUAAGAACAUGGAAGAAGAGGAGCACACAACUCUGGAAAAUAAACCUGAGAUCGAAAUGGAAAAGAAAGAGAGGUCAGAACAUUCGGAGGAAAAGAUGAACGGGCUAGUCGAUAGCAGAUACGCGAGAGCCAUGAGCUCCCUGUCCGAGUUCCCCAAGCUGCUGCUUCAGUUCCUCGGCAAUGAUUACAACAUCCAUGCAGAUGGCAAGGAAGACCUACAGUACCUCUACAUGGAGCUAGAGUUCGUCCAAGCUGCCCUCCUGGAUGUGGCUGACAUGCCACAGGCUCAGGUGCAUGAUGUGUUUAAGCUCUGGGCCGAAACACUAAGGAGCGUCACAUAUGAGAUGGAAGAUAUUUUUGAUUCCAUGGUGUUGCGCUUCCAUGGGUUCGGGCAAGGCUUGGAUCUUCAUGAGAUCGGGCAAAGGAUCAACAAUGUCAUUGCAAAGGUCCAAGAAAUGAACGACAUAAGUCCUAGCUACAAUCUCAAAAAUUUUGCUGACCGAAUUGCCACAUCUACCGCUGACCCUCGCUUAUCGGCUCUAAACAAAGAUCUGAAAGAGAUGGUUGGCAUUGAAGUUUCAACGGACGAGGUAAUAAGGAAGCUGGCACAUGCCAUCAAUGGUGUUUCGAAGCAGCUAAAUAUAGUCUCCAUUGUUGGAAUGGCAGGAAUGGGCAAGACAACUCUUGCCAGGGCAGUGUACCAAAGGGUUCAAGAGCAAUUUGAUUGCACUGCUUUUGUUUCUGUAUCACUGCAUCCCAACAUUAAGAAAGUUCUCAUGGAAAUUCUUUAUCAAAUUGACAAGGAAAAAUAUAAUGACGCCAAUACAGCACAAUUUGAAGGAAGGCUGCCCAUAGAAGAACUCCGGGUACUACUUGCGAACAAGAGGUACUUCAUCGUUAUAGAUGAUAUAUGGGAUGUACAAUCAUGGGAAAUAAUCAAAUCUGUUCUAAUAGACAUGAGAAAUGGAAGUAAUGUAGUCACAACAACUCGACUUUUUGAAGUUGCUGAAAAGGCAGGUGACGUUUACAAGCUAAAAGCAAUUUCUCAUCGGCACUCCAAAGAACUAUUCAAUACAAGAUUAUUUGGUGCAAAAGGAAAAGGCCCUGAGAUCCCUGAAGAACUUUUACAGAAAUGUGGUGGUGUGCCAUUAGCAAUAAUUACAAUGGCUAGUUUGUUGGCUAAUAAACCAAGAGAUGAUUGGUCGAAGGUGUACAACCAAAUUGGUUUUGGCUAUGGAGGCAAUGAAGAUGUGGGCCACAUGAGAAAGACACUACUUCUUAGCUACUACAAUCUGCCUUCUCAUCUCAAGCCUUGCUUAUUGCAUCUUAACAAUUUUCCAGCAGAUUAUUCAAUCAGGAAAGAAACCUUGAUUUGGAUGUGGGUUGCCGAAGGUUUUGUGCAUGGAAAACUAGGAAUAGGGUUAUUUAAGCUCGGAGAGGGAUAUUUCAAUGAGCUCAUCAAUAGAAGCUUGAUCAUACCGGUCGAGGACUCGUCGCGUUGCAUCAAUCUGGCACGAAGUCAGGUGCCAGAUUGGAUAGGGAACCUGACAUCCCUAGAAGAACUAAGGCUGGACAACGUUGGCACAUCCGUAAACUUCGUGAUAGAGCUGGGAAAGCUGAAAGAGCUCAGGGAGCUCGACAUUUGGAUACAAGAGCUCGACGAGAUCUCGAAUGAAGCAUUGGUGAAGUCCCUCGGUGGUCUAGUUAACAUGGAAGUCCUACGAGUGAUGAGUAGUUGGCAGGGUGAGGAGGCCAGCUGGGACAACUAUGUGCCGCCAAUACAACUCCGUGAGUUCCACCUAACUAUCGCUUUCCCUGGACUGCCAAAGUGGAUUAAUGCCUCCUCUGUUCCGAAUCUCUCACACCUGUCUAUGGAUGUGAAGGCUAUGAAUGAGCAGGAUAUGGAUAUCAUUGGGUAUUUACCAGAGCUCAUUGGUCUCGAGCUGCUGCUCCCGCCGGAUGUCUUCCUUAGCAUCAAGGGCGACGGUUUGUUCCCCAAGUUGAGGUGCUUUGACACGCCCGCACCAUUCAGAUUCCUACCAGGAGCUAUGCCGGCCCUGGAACUCCUUCACUUCAAAGUCGACGUCCGUGCUUUGAAGCGUGUCGGCUUCGCCUUGGACGACUUCGCUACCUUGAAGAAUCUACUUCGGCUUCGGAGUGUGGAAGUUGAAAUUGACUCUAGGGGUGCCCGUCCAGUGCACGCGACAGGGGUUGAGGAAGCCGUGAAGCGGACAGUAGACAAUCAUCCCAACAAUCCGACCGCUAGUAUCAGGAGAACCUGA